This 515-nucleotide long non-coding RNA is filed under the name Mytilus galloprovincialis (Mediterranean mussel). The record is from RNAcentral. Lineage: Eukaryota; Metazoa; Mollusca; Bivalvia; Mytilida; Mytilidae.
GUCUGUCUUUUAUCUAAAUAUACAUGCAAACGUAAUUAGAAAUAGUUAAAUAUAUUACUUGAUUAACAUUAUGCAUGAUUCGCCUGAUGGCGUACUAAAUAAUUAUCAUUGUACGUUUGAUAACUAUUUAAACCACUCGGUCGAUGCCACUGCCGGUGGACGUUUCGUCCCCGAUGGUAUCACCAGCCCAGUUGUCAACAUUUCGGUGUUUACAUGAAUAUCAAUAAUGUGGUUAUUUUUAUAAAUUUCCUGUUUACAAAACUUUGAAUUUUUCGAAAAACUCAGGAUUUUCUUAUUCCAGGAAUAGAUUACCUUAGCCGUAAUUGGCACAACUUUUUUGAAUUUUGGAUCCUCAAUGCUUUUCAACUUUGUACUUGUUUGGCUUUAUAAAUAUGUCGAUAUGAGCGCCACUGUUGAGUCUUAUGUAGACGAAACGCGCGUUUGGCGUACUAACUUAUAACCCUGGUACCUUUGAUAACUUAUGUUAUAUCUAUUUACAGCUAAAAUCCUUAUUU